This 943-nucleotide ribosomal RNA is filed under the name uncultured bacterium. Its description in RNAcentral is "bacterial SSU rRNA". It matches the Rfam family "Bacterial small subunit ribosomal RNA", at positions 8 to 942 of the family's 1533-position model. The record is from RNAcentral.
AGAGUUUGAUCCUGGCUCAGAACAAACGCUGGCGGCGUGUCUUAAGCAUGCAAGUUGAGCGGCAAGGAGGAGAGAUCCUCCCUAGAGCGGCGGACUGGUGAGUAACGCGUGGGUAAUCUAUCGUAGGCAUGGGGAUAGUCACUAGAAAUAGUGGGUAAUACCGAAUACGUUCCAUGAGGGGAGUAUUCAUGGAAGAAAGGGUGCUACGGCACUGGCCUUAGGUGAGCUCGCGUCCCAUUAGCUAGUUGGUGAGGUAAAGGCCCACCAAGGCGAUGAUGGGUAGCCGGCCUGAGAGGGUGUACGGCCACACUGGGACUGAGAUACGGCCCAGACUCCUACGGGAGGCAGCAGCUAAGAAUAUUCCGCAAUGGACGAAAGUCUGACGGAGCGACGCCGCGUGGAUGAAGAAGGCCGAAAGGUUGUAAAGUUCUUUUGCUAGGGGAGAAUAAGUGAGGGAGGGAAUGCCCUCAUGAUGACAAGGACUAGCGAAUAAGCCCCGGCCAACUACGUGCCAGCAGCCGCGGUAACACGUAGGGGGCGAGCGUUGUUCGGAAUUACUGGGCGUAAAGGGCAUGUAGGCGGCUUGGUAAGCCUGGCGUGAAAGACUGCAGCUUAACUGUAGGGAUGCGUUGGGAACUGCUUAGCUUGAGUUACGGAGAGGGAGCUGGAAUUCCUGGUGUAGGGGUGAAAUCUGUAGAUAUCAGGAAGAACACCGAUGGCGAAGGCAAGCUUCUGGUCGAUAACUGACGCUGAGGUGCGAAAGUGUGGGGAUCAAACAGGAUUAGAUACCCUGGUAGUCCACACUGUAAACGAUGUGCACGAGGUGCUGGGGCGGUAGUUUCAGUGCCGGAGCGAACGCGGUAAGUGCACCGCCUGGGGAGUAUGCUCGCAAGGGUGAAACUCAAAGGAAUUGACGGGGGCCCGCACAAGCGGUGGAGCAUGU